AUCAGGCUCCUUCUAUUGAGUGCUUCCUUGCUACCCAAAGACUGAAUAAAAGUUGACUUGGCUUUGUGGAGAGCAUGCGGUAAGCAGAAACCGCCAACAGAAAAUCCAACCUCAAUAAAAACAGAGCUUAUGAAAGCCCUUGCUAAAUGGUAAAGUGAGAUACAAAAAACUCUAACGCUGAUAAAGAGACUACACACUCAUAUAACCAAAACUCAGUACAAUCACAUGAUGAGC
Long non-coding RNA from Arabidopsis thaliana (thale cress), 234 nucleotides. RefSeq annotates it as other RNA. The record is from RefSeq. Lineage: Eukaryota; Viridiplantae; Streptophyta; Magnoliopsida; Brassicales; Brassicaceae. The transcript has a single exon.